RNAcentral lists this long non-coding RNA (1372 nucleotides) under Brassica rapa (field mustard). Its description in RNAcentral is "long non-coding RNA (BRAP_LNC007619)". Lineage: Eukaryota; Viridiplantae; Streptophyta; Magnoliopsida; Brassicales; Brassicaceae. The record is from RNAcentral.
AGACGACUUCCAACAUCUCAGACGAUUUACUGGGGCUAUAUUCGUAAAAAUGGCUUCUGUUUUUUUGUUUGGCCACAAGGGGCUGAGCUGUAAUUUCACUAGGCUUUUAGGUUAGUUUUGCAUUUGAUUCAAGUUUGGGUAUAGGUUUGGGAUUAAAAUCAAGUUGUGGGUUAGUUUUGGCAAAAACCCCUAAAUUUAAUUUAUUUUUCAGUGAUCUCAAUACCAGUGAUGCAGGAAGUGAAAAAAAAAAUAUUUUAAUAUAUUAGAAAAAUAUUUCUUUUUAAUAUAUAUAAUAAAAAUUGGUAUCUCGACAUAGACAUAAAUCUUUCUACCCCGAUGAAGAACCACCCAUUAUUAUUUACAUUACAAUAUCAAGCAAAAUUAGAACUUUUGACAAACGAGAGAAAUUUCAGAGAGCUUCACCAAUUUUUCAACAAGAGAAAGUCGUUAAAAGCCAAUUUUCAAAAAAAAAAAAGGGUCGUUAAACAUGGAAAUGAAAACAAUGUAAAUACGGGUUUACAACUAGAUCAUUGGUCGCACGAAGAAAGAGAAAAAAAGAAGAAGAGAAAAACCUAUAUGGUCAUAGUUUGUAAUCACUUCACUAGGUUAGCGCUUCUAGAGUUAUAAGAUUACCAUUUUAUACGACCUUUUAUAAGGAUACAAAAACAACGUAUUACAUGUGAUUUAAACAAGAGACGUAAAAUUUUAGGUUGGCAGGAUAAUAACAUUCCACAAAAAAACAGAGACAUUAGAAAAUUUAAAAAAAUGUUAGAUGUAAAUCUAAAAAUAUGAAAUUUUGGAUUCUAAUAAAUAUAUAAAUAAAUACUUAAAAUUUUAUUUAAAAAAAAUAGUUUCAAUAAGAUUUUUUUCUUUUUAAAUUAUAAAUCGGAAAAUUUUAGAAAAAUAAAUUAUAAAAAGUUCAAAUUAAAAAAAAUAUAAUUAAAACAUAAAAAAAAAAUUAAAUAUUUUUUAUUAUAUAUAUAACAAGGAUAUAAAAAUCAUUUGCAUGUUAUUGAAAAAUGUAUUUUUUAAAAUGUUUCUUUAAUAAUUUUAAUAAUAAUAAACAUGAAUAGUUAUAUCAACAAAGUAAACAUGAAAAUUCUCUAUAUAAAAUAGCUUAUAUUUUCAAUUCCCCUUACCACCUCACCCAAAGUAUAUAAUAUUCUAUUCACAACAAAUUUUUAAUAUAAACACACUUAACAUUUAUAAACCUUUAACACACAAAAAUACUUAAAAACCAUCAACGUUAUUGUACACUCCUCUUGCGAAUCCUAACAUGAAACACAUACAAUAAAAUAUACAAUUAUAUAGUAAUAUACAUCACACGACAAUCAUAUUUCGCGCGUAGCGCGGACCGACCCUAGUAUAUAUA